RNAcentral lists this long non-coding RNA (547 nucleotides) under Triticum aestivum (bread wheat). Its description in RNAcentral is "long non-coding RNA (TAES_LNC011005)". Lineage: Eukaryota; Viridiplantae; Streptophyta; Magnoliopsida; Poales; Poaceae. The record is from RNAcentral.
UUUUAAAACUUAUUUGAACUCCGGACUUCUUUUGUGUUCAGUAUGCAGCAUUUAAAGCGACGUCAUCAAUUUUCAACAUGUUCUGACAUCAUUUGUUGUUUUUCGGUCAUUUACCUAAUUGUUUAGAGAGCUAAAUGACCGUGAAAUUGAAAAUCACUACAAAAUGAAUCCUGAAAAUGUUGAAACUUGGCAUGGUAUCAUCAUAUCACCCACAUAGCAUGCGCGAAAGAGUAGAGAGGGUCACGGCAAAAACUGGACGCACUUCGUGUACAAACUGGACAUACUCUUUCCGAGUAUCAGGGUUUCGGACGAGAUCAACUCAUCUGUUACAUGGCCACUUCAAUGUUUUUUAAACUUAUUUGAACUCCGGACUUCUUUUGUGUUCAGUAUGCAGCAUUUAAAGCGACGUCAUCAAUUUUCAACAUGUUUUGACAUCAUUUGUUGUUUUUCGGUCAUUUACCUAAUUGUUUAGAGAGCUAAAUGACCGUGAAAUUGAAAAUCACUACAAAAUGAAUCCUGAAAAUGUUGAAACUUGGCAUGGUAUCAU